UUAAGCGACUAAGCGUACACGGUGGAUGCCCUGGCAGUCAGAGGCGAUGAAGGGCGUGCUAAUCUGCGAUAAGCGCCGGUAAGGUGAUAUGAACCGUUAUAACCGGCGAUACCCGAAUGGGGAAACCCAGUGUGAUUCGUCACACUAUCAUUAACUGAAUCCAUAGGUUAAUGAGGCGAACCGGGGGAACUGAAACAUCUAAGUACCCCGAGGAAAAGAAAUCAACCGAGAUUCCCCCAGUAGCGGCGAGCGAACGGGGAGGAGCCCAGAGCCUGAAUCAGCAUGUGUGUUAGUGGAAGCGUCUGGAAAGGCGCGCGAUACAGGGUGACAGCCCCGUACACAAAAGCGCAUGUGCUGUGAGCUCGAUGAGUAGGGCGGGACACGUGGUAUCCUGUCUGAAUAUGGGGGGACCAUCCUCCAAGGCUAAAUACUCCUGACUGACCGAUAGUGAACCAGUACCGUGAGGGAAAGGCGAAAAGAACCCCGGCGAGGGGAGUGAAAAAGAACCUGAAACCGUGUACGUACAAGCAGUGGGAGCACGCUUAGGCGUGUGACUGCGUACCUUUUGUAUAAUGGGUCAGCGACUUAUAUUCUGUAGCAAGGUUAACCGAAUAGGGGAGCCGGAGGGAAACCGAGUCUUAACCGGGCGUUAAGUUGCAGGGUAUAGACCCGAAACCCGGUGAUCUAGCCAUGGGCAGGUUGAAGGUUGGGUAACACUAACUGGAGGACCGAACCGACUAAUGUUGAAAAAUUAGCGGAUGACCUGUGGCUGGGGGUGAAAGGCCAAUCAAACCGGGAGAUAGCUGGUUCUCCCCGAAAGCUAUUUAGGUAGCGCCUCGUGAAUUCAUCUCCGGGGGUAGAGCACUGUUUCGGCUAGGGGGCCAUCCCGGCUUACCAACCCGAUGCAAACUGCGAAUACCGGAGAAUGUUAUCACGGGAGACACACGGCGGGUGCUAACGUCCGUCGUGAAGAGGGAAACAACCCAGACCGCCAGCUAAGGUCCCAAAGUCAUGGUUAAGUGGGAAACGAUGUGGGAAGGCCCAGACAGCCAGGAUGUUGGCUUAGAAGCAGCCAUCAUUUAAAGAAAGCGUAAUAGCUCACUGGUCGAGUCGGCCUGCGCGGAAGAUGUAACGGGGCUAAACCAUGCACCGAAGCUGCGGCAGCGACGCUUAUGUGUUGUUGGGUAGGGGAGCGUUCUGUAAGCCUGUGAAGGUGUGUCGUGAGGCAUGCUGGAGGUAUCAGAAGUGCGAAUGCUGACAUAAGUAACGAUAAAGCGGGUGAAAAGCCCGCUCGCCGGAAGACCAAGGGUUCCUGUCCAACGUUAAUCGGGGCAGGGUGAGUCGACCCCUAAGGCGAGGCCGAAAGGCGUAGUCGAUGGGAAACGGGUUAAUAUUCCCGUACUUGGUGUUACUGCGAAGGGGGGACGGAGAAGGCUAUGUUGGCCGGGCGACGGUUGUCCCGGUUUAAGCGUGUAGGUGUGUGUUCCAGGUAAAUCCGGUUCACUUUAACACUGAGGCGUGACGACGAGGCACUACGGUGCUGAAGCAACAAAUGCCCUGCUUCCAGGAAAAGCCUCUAAGCAUCAGGUAACAUCAAAUCGUACCCCAAACCGACACAGGUGGUCAGGUAGAGAAUACCAAGGCGCUUGAGAGAACUCGGGUGAAGGAACUAGGCAAAAUGGUGCCGUAACUUCGGGAGAAGGCACGCUGACACGUAGGUGAAGUGAUUUACUCAUGGAGCUGAAGUCAGUCGAAGAUACCAGCUGGCUGCAACUGUUUAUUAAAAACACAGCACUGUGCAAACACGAAAGUGGACGUAUACGGUGUGACGCCUGCCCGGUGCCGGAAGGUUAAUUGAUGGGGUCAGCGCAAGCGAAGCUCCUGAUCGAAGCCCCGGUAAACGGCGGCCGUAACUAUAACGGUCCUAAGGUAGCGAAAUUCCUUGUCGGGUAAGUUCCGACCUGCACGAAUGGCGUAAUGAUGGCCAGGCUGUCUCCACCCGAGACUCAGUGAAAUUGAACUCGCUGUGAAGAUGCAGUGUACCCGCGGCAAGACGGAAAGACCCCGUGAACCUUUACUAUAGCUUGACACUGAACAUUGAGCCUUGAUGUGUAGGAUAGGUGGGAGGCUUUGAAGUGUGGACGCCAGUCUGCAUGGAGCCGACCUUGAAAUACCACCCUUUAAUGUUUGAUGUUCUAACGUGGACCCGUUACCCGGGUUGCGGACAGUGUCUGGUGGGUAGUUUGACUGGGGCGGUCUCCUCCUAAAGAGUAACGGAGGAGCACUAAGGUUGGCUAAUCCUGGUCGGACAUCAGGAGGUUAGUGCAAUGGCAUAAGCCAGCUUGACUGCGAGCGUGACGGCGCGAGCAGGUGCGAAAGCAGGUCAUAGUGAUCCGGUGGUUCUGAAUGGAAGGGCCAUCGCUCAACGGAUAAAAGGUACUCCGGGGAUAACAGGCUGAUACCGCCCAAGAGUUCAUAUCGACGGCGGUGUUUGGCACCUCGAUGUCGGCUCAUCACAUCCUGGGGCUGAAGUAGGUCCCAAGGGUAUGGCUGUUCGCCAUUUAAAGUGGUACGCGAGCUGGGUUUAGAACGUCGUGAGACAGUUCGGUCCCUAUCUGCCGUGGGCGCUGGAGAACUGAGGGGGGCUGCUCCUAGUACGAGAGGACCGGAGUGGACGCAUCACUGGUGUUCGGGUUGUCAUGCCAAUGGCACUGCCCGGUAGCUAAAUGCGGAAGAGAUAAGUGCUGAAAGCAUCUAAGCACGAAACUUGCCCCGAGAUGAGUUCUCCCUGAGACUUAGAGUCUCCUGAAGGAACGUUGAAGACGACGACGUUGAUAGGCCGGGUGUGUAAGCGCAGCGAUGCGUUGAGCUAACCGGUACUAAUGAACCGUGAGGCUUAACCUU
RNAcentral lists this ribosomal RNA (2904 nucleotides) under Salmonella enterica subsp. enterica serovar Enteritidis. Its description in RNAcentral is "bacterial LSU rRNA". It matches the Rfam family "Bacterial large subunit ribosomal RNA". The record is from RNAcentral. Lineage: Bacteria; Pseudomonadati; Pseudomonadota; Gammaproteobacteria; Enterobacterales; Enterobacteriaceae.